AGAGUUUGAUCCUGGCUCAGAUUGAACGCUGGCGGCAGGCCUAACACAUGCAAGUCGAACGGUAACAGGAAACAGCUUGCUGUUUCGCUGACGAGUGGCGGACGGGUGAGUAAUGUCUGGGAAACUGCCUGAUGGAGGGGGAUAACUACUGGAAACGGUAGCUAAUACCGCAUAACGUCGCAAGACCAAAGAGGGGGACCUUCGGGCCUCUUGCCAUCGGAUGUGCCCAGAUGGGAUUAGCUAGUAGGUGGGGUAACGGCUCACCUAGGCGACGAUCCCUAGCUGGUCUGAGAGGAUGACCAGCCACACUGGAACUGAGACACGGUCCAGACUCCUACGGGAGGCAGCAGUGGGGAAUAUUGCACAAUGGGCGCAAGCCUGAUGCAGCCAUGCCGCGUGUAUGAAGAAGGCCUUCGGGUUGUAAAGUACUUUCAGCGGGGAGGAAGGGAGUAAAGUUAAUACCUUUGCUCAUUGACGUUACCCGCAGAAGAAGCACCGGCUAACUCCGUGCAGCAGCCGCGGUAAUACGGAGGGUGCAAGCGUUAAUCGGAAUUACUGGGCGUAAAGCGCACGCAGGCGGUUUGCUAAGUCAGAUGUGAAAUCCCCGGGCUCAACCUGGGAACUGCAUCUGAUACUGGCAAGCUUGAGUCUCGUAGAGGGGGGUAGAAUUCCAGGUGUAGCGGUGAAAUGCGUAGAGAUCUGGAGGAAUACCGGUGGCGAAGGCGGCCCCCUGGACGAAGACUGACGCUCAGGUGCGAAAGCGUGGGGAGCAAACAGGAUUAGAUACCCUGGUAGUCCACGCCGUAAACGAUGUCGACUUGGAGGUUGUGCCCUUGAGGCGUGGCUUCCGGAGCUAACGCGUUAAGUCGACCGCCUGGGGAGUACGGCCGCAAGGUUAAAACUCAAAUGAAUUGACGGGGGCCCGCACAAGCGGUGGAGCAUGUGGUUUAAUUCGAUGCAACGCGAAGAACCUUACCUGGUCUUGACAUCCACGGAAGUUUUCAGAGAUGAGAAUGUGCCUUCGGGAACCGUGAGACAGGUGCUGCAUGGCUGUCGUCAGCUCGUGUUGUGAAAUGUUGGGUUAAGUCCCGCAACGAGCGCAACCCUUAUCCUUUGUUGCCAGCGGUCCGGCCGGGAACUCAAAGGAGACUGCCAGUGAUAAACUGGAGGAAGGUGGGGAUGACGUCAAGUCAUCAUGGCCCUUACGACCAGGGCUACACACGUGCUACAAUGGCGCAUACAAAGAGAAGCGACCUCGCGAGAGCAAGCGGACCUCAUAAAGUGCGUCGUAGUCCGGAUUGGAGUCUGCAACUCGACUCCAUGAAGUCGGAAUCGCUAGUAAUCGUGGAUCAGAAUGCCACGGUGAAUACGUUCCCGGGCCUUGUACACACCGCCCGUCACACCAUGGGAGUGGGUUGCAAAAGAAGUAGGUAGCUUAACCUUCGGGAGGGCGCUUACCACUUUGUGAUUCAUGACUGGGGUGAAGUCGUAACAAGGUAACCGUA
This 1505-nucleotide ribosomal RNA is filed under the name Shigella sp. RNAcentral describes it as "bacterial SSU rRNA". It matches the Rfam family "Bacterial small subunit ribosomal RNA". The record is from RNAcentral. Lineage: Bacteria; Pseudomonadati; Pseudomonadota; Gammaproteobacteria; Enterobacterales; Enterobacteriaceae.